AUGAGGCAUUUAAAAACUUUGAUGCAGAGAGUAUCGUAAUUUCAUGAAAAGAUAAUUUCGGUACACAAUGUAGAAUGUUAAAUCUUAUACUAGAUUUAAUGAAUAAAUUGAGACUUAUCUUUAAUUAUGUGUCAACGCACCCAUUUGUAUGAAAGUUUCAUUUGUUCCAUGGGUAGCUUGGCACACCUACAUCUACACCCUCAUAUUUUCAUUUUGGGUACCCAAGCUUGCUUGGGUCCUUGAGGGUUAGUGCAUAUGGUUCCUUUUGGAAUCCAAAUCUGUUUAAUCGUAAUAACUUUACCAUUUGAUUUAUUCGUAUUAGAACCAUAG
Molecule: long non-coding RNA, 330 nt
Filed under: Phoenix dactylifera (date palm)
Lineage: Eukaryota; Viridiplantae; Streptophyta; Magnoliopsida; Arecales; Arecaceae
Description: long non-coding RNA (PDAC_LNC022703)
Source: RNAcentral